AGGCUUGUAGCUCAGGUGGUUAGAGCGCACCCCUGAUAAGGGUGAGGUCGAUGGUUCAAGUCCACUCAGGCCUA
This 74-nucleotide transfer RNA is filed under the name Escherichia coli. RNAcentral's name for it is "tRNA-Ile". It matches the Rfam family "tRNA". Rfam says of the family: Transfer RNA (tRNA) molecules are approximately 80 nucleotides in length. Their secondary structure includes four short double-helical elements and three loops (D, anti-codon, and T loops). Further hydrogen bonds mediate the characteristic L-shaped molecular structure. tRNAs have two regions of fundamental functional importance: the anti-codon, which is responsible for specific mRNA codon recognition, and the 3' end, to which the tRNAs corresponding amino acid is attached (by aminoacyl-tRNA synthetases). tRNAs cope with the degeneracy of the genetic code in two manners: having more than one tRNA (with a specific anti-codon) for a particular amino acid; and 'wobble' base-pairing, i.e. permitting non-standard base-pairing at the 3rd anti-codon position. The record is from RNAcentral. Lineage: Bacteria; Pseudomonadati; Pseudomonadota; Gammaproteobacteria; Enterobacterales; Enterobacteriaceae.